This 986-nucleotide long non-coding RNA is filed under the name Populus tremula. RNAcentral describes it as "long non-coding RNA (PTRE_LNC002148)". Lineage: Eukaryota; Viridiplantae; Streptophyta; Magnoliopsida; Malpighiales; Salicaceae. The record is from RNAcentral.
CUAAUUCCACUCUUUGGCUUGGGUUCAACACGAAAUGACAAGGGAACUGAUGCGGGUGAAGAAUCUGCCAGACUUGCAGCUUUGUACUCAUUGGUUAGGGAAGACAAACAACAACAGAGAGAAGGGUUGUAAUAAAGACAGCAUUGCAUUAGGAUAUGGGAGACUACCGCAUGAUAGACCUAGAAUAUAGGAAUGCCAAAGUAAUGAUCCUUUAAAAUCAACGGGGCAUUCCAGAUCAGCUAAGUUAACACUAUGCUAUUACAGUUGGAGGUUCAGGUAUAAGAUGAGACAAAAAUGUUGUAUGAGUUUUAUUAAUGGAAAAGAUUAAAGAGCAUUCCAGGAAAAUACUGAUAAGGCAUGCUUACAGCAUAAGAAAAAACAGUGUUCACCAAUUUAACAUCUGAGUAUGAUGUAACUCACUAAAAACCGCAAUUGUACCUGAUUUUUUAAGGGAAAAAAACUAGAAUGGAAACAUUAGUGAUGAGUAGAUGGAUAAAUUUGUGAAAAGUAAGGAGAACUAUGAAAUUGAAAAGGCAGAGCAGAUGUAUUUUCCAACAACCACAAAGACAAGAAGUUGUGAAAAACUACAAGAUGAAUGAGAACAGACUGACACAGAUGUUUUUCUCAGUUUUUUAGAUUAUGAGUUGUUAACCAUUACAAAGUAAAUAAAUUUUGACCCUAUAAACUACACAUUAGAAGAUACUUGGAUCUGCGUCAUGAAAGAUGUGAUUAGAUGGAUGGUAACCAUCAACCAAAGCACAAACAACCACAUGCUAGGACUGGGAAAACAAGACUUCAUUUAUUAGAAGACGAUAUGGAAACAAAUUAGAAAUAAAAGAGCACAAGAAGGAUAUUUUAAAAGCAGCAAAUGCCCUUUUCUCAGUGCGGCGUAAGAGGCGUUCUGCAUCCUCUUCAGCCUCCAUUUGCUCUUUGAGAUAAAGUAAAUCAUCGCUAUCCAGUGCUGCAUAAACAAAGCUCACGAAGGU